GUCGAGAGGCUUUGGCAAUGGGGGAAACCCUGACCAAGCGACGCCGCGUGGAGGAUGAAGGCCCUUGGGUUGUAAACUCCUUUUGUUGGGGAAGAAAUGCGAUCAGGUGAACAAUCUGGUCGUUUGACGGUACCCGACGAAUAAGCUCCGGCUAACUCCGUGCCAGCAGCCGCGGUAACACGGGGGGAGCAAGCGUUGUUCGGAAUCACUGGGCGUAAAGGGCGUGUAGGCGGUCAGGUAAGUGGGAUGUGAAAUACCCCGGCUCACCCGGGGAACGGCAUCCCAUACUGCCUGACUUGAGUAUGGGAGAGGAUGAGGGAAUUCCAGGUGUAGCGGUGAAAUGCGUAGAUAUCUGGAGGAACACCGGUGGCGAAGGCGCUCAUCUGGCCCAAUACUGACGCUGAGGCGCGAAAGCUAGGGGAGCAAACGGGAUUAGAAACCCGAGUAGUCC
This 451-nucleotide ribosomal RNA is filed under the name uncultured bacterium. Its description in RNAcentral is "bacterial SSU rRNA". It matches the Rfam family "Bacterial small subunit ribosomal RNA", at positions 354 to 796 of the family's 1533-position model. The record is from RNAcentral.